RNAcentral lists this ribosomal RNA (253 nucleotides) under uncultured bacterium. Its description in RNAcentral is "partial 16S ribosomal RNA". It matches the Rfam family "Bacterial small subunit ribosomal RNA", at positions 524 to 776 of the family's 1533-position model. The record is from RNAcentral.
UACGUAGGGUGCAAGCGUUGUCCGGAAUUACUGGGCGUAAAGAGCUCGUAGGUGGUUUGUCGCGUUGUCCGUGAAAACUCACAACUCAAUUGUGGGCGUGCGGGCGAUACGGGCAGACUGGAGUACUGCAGGGGAGACUGGAAUUCCUGGUGUAGCGGUGGAAUGCGCAGAUAUCAGGAGGAACACCGGUGGCGAAGGCGGGUCUCUGGGCAGUAACUGACGCUGAGGCGCGACAGCGUGGGGAGCAAACAGG